GAAAUGCGAUAAUUAAUGUGAAUUGCAGAAUUCAGUGAAUCAUCGAGUCUUUGAACGCACAUUGCGCCCCCUGGUAUUCCGGGGGCAUGCCUGUCCGAGCGUCAUUGCUGCCCUCAAGCACGGCUUGUGUGUUGGGCUUCCGUCCCUGGCAACGGGGACGGGCCCAAAAGGCAGUGGCGGAACCAUGUCUGGUCCUCGAGCGUAUGGGGCUUUGUCACCCGCUCCCGUAGGUCCAGCUGGCAGCUAGCCUCGCAACCAAUCUUUUUAACCAGGUUGACCUCGGAUCAGGUAGGGAUACCCGCUGAACUUAAGC
This 313-nucleotide unclassified non-coding RNA is filed under the name plant metagenome. Its description in RNAcentral is "partial contains 5.8S ribosomal RNA, internal transcribed spacer 2, and large subunit ribosomal RNA". The stretch from base 1 to 104 matches the Rfam family "5.8S ribosomal RNA", at positions 50 to 154 of the family's 154-position model. The record is from RNAcentral.